GCGGGCUGUGAGGACUGAGGUCUGUAGCGAAGGUCCAGCCCCGUGGUCUUCGCUUCGUUCGGCAACGAACGCCCAGCGAAGGGACAUCCCUGUAGAAGUUCUGCUGCGUGUGGUCCAGCCGUCCCCACUCCUCCCGGGAGAGGUACAAGGCCACAUCCUCGAAAGUCACUGGCAUCUGAAACAAUGUGAAACAUCCACUCUCCAGGACAUGACGUGGACACGGUGGAGGGACACCAUGGCAUGAGAUGUGUGGUGAGACCCCGGACUCCCAACCCACUGUGUCGAGUGAGGCCUGCCACUUCCAUCUGAUCGGGAAGCAGGUGAGCCACCCAAGGCCUUCUGGGGAGUUGAGAAAGAACAAAGACCAAGAGGUAUUUUCAGGGAUCACAGUUAAGACUUAGGAUGUCCAUGCAGCCCCCAGCCUCAGCUGAGACCUCGGAGGACGGUUCCCAACGGCUACCAGCGAGAGGCCCUGUGUCUCUAAUUCCUGCUGCUUCUCCUCCAGCUUUGGCCCAGGCCUGACCAUGGGCCUUGAGCCUGGACAAUUCCAGCAACACUAGCAAGAGCCCCAGGCUUCAGGCUUGGCUGCAAGUGGGGCCAGCGGGGUCCUGGCUUUCACACAGAACCAGCAGAUGCAGGAAGGGCUGAGUACCAUGCAGGGGCCGGGGAAGGGCCACUCACCUGGGACCAGGCAGUGAGGAGCGCUGCAGCCAUCUGCCGGUCUCUGGUCCUCCCCUCUCGGGAAAGCACGGGGAUCCGGGGGGAGGGGAGGGCUGUG
Molecule: long non-coding RNA, 778 nt
Filed under: Homo sapiens (human)
Lineage: Eukaryota; Metazoa; Chordata; Mammalia; Primates; Hominidae
Description: non-protein coding lnc-ZSCAN10-3:20
Source: RNAcentral